RNAcentral lists this transfer RNA (72 nucleotides) under Henricia downeyae. RNAcentral's name for it is "tRNA-Ala". It matches the Rfam family "tRNA". Rfam says of the family: Transfer RNA (tRNA) molecules are approximately 80 nucleotides in length. Lineage: Eukaryota; Metazoa; Echinodermata; Asteroidea; Spinulosida; Echinasteridae. The record is from RNAcentral.
GUGAACUUAGUUUAAAAAUAAAACCUUUGACUUGCAAUCAAAAAAUCUAGUCCACCAAAUCUAGAGUCCACA